This 710-nucleotide long non-coding RNA is filed under the name Cricetulus griseus (Chinese hamster). Its description in RNAcentral is "lncRNA (ENSCGRG00015042483.1)". Lineage: Eukaryota; Metazoa; Chordata; Mammalia; Rodentia; Cricetidae. The record is from RNAcentral.
GCUCGACGCUCAGGCCUGGACAAGCUCUAAGGACGCCCAGGCAGUCCACCUAGAGAGCAGGGGACCAUCCAGACUACACCGAGAGGGGCUGGCAGGUCAUUCCCUCGGGGGAUGGAGAGGAGAGAACUGGAGGCCGCUGACAGACGCGGAGAAGAUGAGUGCGAGCCCCCUUCCUCCUAUCCUUUGGCGCACUGACAGCCGGUCAACCGCAAAGAUAAGGACCUCUUCCGCCUGGCGGGAAGUACGUGGACCAGUCCAGGGCUAACUGGUGGGCAAGAAGGGCUGCAGAGACCGCGCAUCACAGAGACAAGGCCUGGAACAGAGACAGGAGACAGGAGACAGGAUAGAGCCAGAGCCGUCUGACACCAGCCAGUCCUUGCUGGGGUGUCUGAACUUCCCAGGAGAACCCCUUGGGGCUGGCCUGUCCCUGGUCCUGAAGAACCUGUGGGAUCAGCAGGUCCUCACCAGUGAGGCUGUCCCUAACAGUCUGCUCUGUCCAAGGAAAUGUGGUCCACGCCCCCUUCAUUCUGUCUUCCUGUCACUUCUACCCAGAGUGCCGAGGGCUGGCUGGACAGAGUGCUGAGAGAUGAGCCAAGGAUGGCCCCAGAUCAACCUUAAUAAUGGGAAAAGGUUUUUACCAACUCCACAUCUGACAGAGGACUGAUAUGCAAAAUAUAUAAAGUAUCAAAAAAAACUGGGCAUCAAGGAAG